GCUUACGGCCACACUGCCUAGUUCACGCCCGAUCUCGUUUGAUCUCGGAAGCUAAGAUAGGGUGGGCCUGGUUAAUACUUGGAUGGGAGACCCCUGGGAAUACCAGGUGCUGUAAGCU
Ribosomal RNA from Scophthalmus maximus (turbot), 118 nucleotides. The record is from Ensembl. NCBI's taxonomy places the organism in Eukaryota, Metazoa, Chordata, Actinopteri, Pleuronectiformes, Scophthalmidae.